Molecule: non-coding RNA, 21 nt
Organism: Caenorhabditis elegans
Lineage: Eukaryota; Metazoa; Nematoda; Chromadorea; Rhabditida; Rhabditidae
Source: Ensembl
UGCUUAUUCAAGGUUUCCAAC